This 374-nucleotide ribosomal RNA is filed under the name uncultured organism. RNAcentral describes it as "partial 16S ribosomal RNA". It matches the Rfam family "Bacterial small subunit ribosomal RNA", at positions 527 to 896 of the family's 1533-position model. The record is from RNAcentral.
GUAGGUGGCAAGCGUUGUCCGGAAUUAUUGGGCGUAAAGCGCGCGCAGGCGGGGUCCUUUAAGUCUGAUGUGAAAGCCCACGGGCUCAACCGUGGAGGGUCAUUGGAAACUGGGGGACUUGAGUACAGAAGAGGAAAGCGGAAUUCCACGUGUAGCGGUGAAAUGCGUAGAGAUGUGGAGGAACACCAGUGGCGAAGGCGGCUUUCUGGUCUGUAACUGACGCUGAGGCGCGAAAGCGUGGGGAGCAAACAGGAUUAGAUACCCUGGUAGUCCACGCCGUAAACGAUGAGUGCUAAGUGUUAGGGGGUUUCCGCCCCUUAGUGCUGCAGCUAACGCAUUAAGCACUCCGCCUGGGGAGUACGGCCGCAAGGCUG